AGUGUAACGUGUUGAAAAAGGGAGUUCUGUGUCCCAAUAAAGAUGGAAAGUGAAGGUGAUCAUGUUUUCUGGAAUGGAAAAGGGCUCUGCUUCCUUCUUCUCCGAGCUCAGAAAAAGAAAUUUCUAUAGUUUGAUCUUUUGGUCUACCUACAUGAGAUCAAGGAAAAGAAAGAAGAAAAAAAUCAAGUUUUUUUUUAAAAGUGUACCUUUUGAGUCAACCUAAUUUAUUUAUUUAUUUGAGCUGGGACCAGCAGAGGGAAAGGGAGAGAAAGAAGCUUAAACAAACUCCCCUUUGUGCGUGGAGCCCGACAUGGGGCUCGGUCUCACGACCCUGAGAUCAUGACCUGAGCUGAAACCAACAGUUGGAUGCUUAACUGACUGAGCCACCCAGGAGCCCCAGUUUAACUUU
Mustela lutreola (European mink) is the source of this 409-nucleotide long non-coding RNA. RefSeq lists it as uncharacterized. The record is from RefSeq and is a predicted model, not a curated record. The transcript is spliced from 3 exons. Lineage: Eukaryota; Metazoa; Chordata; Mammalia; Carnivora; Mustelidae.